RNAcentral lists this long non-coding RNA (3558 nucleotides) under Diabrotica virgifera virgifera (western corn rootworm). Its description in RNAcentral is "uncharacterized LOC126892303". Lineage: Eukaryota; Metazoa; Arthropoda; Insecta; Coleoptera; Chrysomelidae. The record is from RNAcentral.
ACUCAAGGUUUUUUUUUUCUGUGAUUUAUAAAAAGUUUUAACGAGUAUCUAUACAGCCUUCUGUCACGCCCAUCUAAUGCGCACGUCCCUGUCAUGUCUGAAUUGAAGUAAACUUCAGAAAUUUUGACAUGACAUAUGAAUACCUAACCUACCUAAUAUUUGAUGUUUUUGUUUGGGCCUGUUCAAUAUGUACUGCUACUGUUCUUGAAAUACAUCAUAACUAAUUAAAUAAACUUUAUUUUAGAUCCCGUAACUUAGUUAUUUAGUCACACAACGUGACUCUAUCACGUUGAUUAUGUACUACCUAGUUAGAUUGCUAGCCACUCUGUGAUGGUUUAUCCCUAGAGUGGGCUGUUUUUGUUGGAUAAUACACCAUACCGGAUUUUAUUACAACCAGCAUCUUCACCCAGGACCUUGCAGUAGGACUUACUCACCACAGCAGCCAACCGUUUUAUCGUGCCAAAAGGGAAUUUCCUACGGAAUUCAUCUCUAUGGACUUGCAACCCUACUUUUAACCGACUGUUGUGUAAAAGCUAAGUUUAUUUACUUUUUCAUUAUUUACUUUUGGGUAAGAUAUAUUUGCUACAUUGUAAACUUUUCGUAUGCAUACGAUUAGGAAGAGUACAUAUAUUUUCGUGAUAGAUAGGGUUUUAGGUUGUUGUUUUUUUUUUCUUUUUGAUUCAGUAUAAGUAGGAGUUAGUUAAAAUAAAUAAAAUCAGGUCUUGUUUAAUAAUCAUAAAUAAUUGUAUCUUAAAAUUUAAUAGGGAAUCGGGUUGUAAAAUUUUGUCGCGGAUUUUAAAUAGGGAAUACGUCUCGUAGGUUUUUUUUGUAAAAUAUAUAAAGAGUCACUGACCAACUCAUUUAUAUAGACCUUUUUGCUAUUCCAACGGACUUUUGAUUUGGAUUUUGAUUUUAAUACUUUUGCUUGGCCAGUGAUAGUGGAUAAUUGCUUGUUGAGUGGCCUUUGCGGUCCUAUUUUAUCUUUUCCCCAUCCACUAUCACUGUUAUUACGUUGCGUUAUAUGUAAAGUGUUAUUAUUUAAUAUUUAUUAUUAAUAUAUUUGUAUGUAUUAAGGUUGGUGUUUUAUUUCAGUCUGUAUUACCAGUAUAUAACAUAGCAAGACAAGAUCAGUAUUUAGUAUUUUGUAUUUCAGGUGGUUGUAACCAGUGUCAUAGAGUUCCCAUUGUUCGUUACUUCAAAAUCUCGAACCUGUCCAACUUCUUGGUUCUGAGAGCCGAGUUGUUCGUUCGAGUUGGCGCCCUUUUUUCUUCUUCUUUCUUUGUUGUAACUCGAUAUUAUUUUAUCUCUAGCAUUCUUAUCUAUUUUCCUUCCAUUUUUGUAUUAACAGUCUCAUUUCCUUCCUAGUUACUAUCAUUUCAUUACCAAAUUUUCUUCUCAUAUCUCUAAAGCCAAUAUUCGGUGUAUGGAAGCUAGCCCGAAUACUCAUACUUGAGAUUUAGUGUCUCUCUGCCCUUUUGAUUUUUUUUUCCUUCUGAGCUAAGCCCCUCUUCUUUUGUCUUAAAUCUCUUAUCAUUUAUUUUACCCAUCUUUAUUCAGUUCUUCUCUUCAAAAAUCUCUAUACCCAGAGUAUAGAGGGUUCAAUUGAUUUUUAGUUGUUGCUGAUAUCCAGAACCAUAUCAUUAUUUAUGUUUAGCUUUGUAGUAAUGUAGUUUCAACUAGUCUUGAUGAAUUAGUCCCUCAUUGAAUUCUCGGGUGAUUAGUAGAAUUUGUUCGCUCUAGUAUCAAUGUUGGGUAAAUUUGAUAGGUUGAUUGUUGUGUAUGGUUCUUGGUUAUACUGUGUUAGGUGUUGUUAAUACACACCUGUAAUUUAGAUUUAAUGAUGGGUUACUAACACUCGAGAAUGCAGAUGGUAGGUAGUGUUAGGAGUUGACUUACUCUAUAAGGUUGUAUAAUUAUAUUUAGAAUGUAAGUGAUUAACGUGUAAUUAUUUGUUUUUCUCUAUCUUUAUUUUUACUAAAUUAAAGUAAAUUAUCUUGUUGAAUUAUCUAUGUCGGUCAGUUACACAUCCCUUCUAUGUUCUAUACUUUCUGCAAAUAUGAUUAAAUAUAUCUCGCGUGGCCUCUAUACUAUGUAUGACUUCGUUCCUGAUUUUUGUUCCGUCCUCUCAGCAAAUAGUAUGACUGUUGAGCCUACCAUCAUUAUGUUUUUAUCCCACAACGUUACUCCUUUACCGUGUCCACCCUCAGGUUCGCCCUAGCGUCAGUUAGUUCUGGAAAAUAAAAAAAAAAGAGGAAACUUGUGGAGUUUUCCUUUUUUUUUGCUGGAGAUAAGGGAGAAUGUAGCAGUUAUGCUACGGACCAUUUAAAAUUAAUUACGAUUUUCGAUUCAUUCAAUUAUAUUUCAUUAAAAAUACCCCUCUAGAAAAUUCUUUGGAGACGCCUAUUUAAUCGCCUAGGUGCCUAUUUUCGCAGCGAAGCAAGAGGAAAGCACCGCGCAUGUUUCUAUCGGAUCGAUACGAAUCGAUUUCCGAUAACAUUGAACAGCAGUUGGUCAGGAAACGGCUCGAAGGGCGGAUGGCGCGCCGCUAGUAAGGUUAUUCCCACUUUUAAGUGACGGGAUUGAAACAAAUUUUCGAUGGAAAUCAAAUAAUUAGAAGGAAAUCAAGCGUCAGCUAAUCCCAUCUACAAAACUAGAUAACCAAAGUUAAACAUCUCUUUGGACUUCUUCACAUAACAGAAGUGGAUAUUCCGGCGUGCCUGCCUUGUUUCAAUCCCGUAACUUAGUUAUUUAGUCACACAACGUGACUCUAUCACGUUGAUUAUGUACUACCUAGUUAGAUUGCUAGCCACUCUGUGAUGGUUUAUCCCUAGAGUGGGCUGUUUUUGUUGGAUAAUACACCAUACCGGAUUUUAUUACAACCAGCAUCUUCACCCAGGACCUUGCAGUAGGACUUACUCACCACAGCAGCCAACCGUUUUAUCGUGCCAAAAGGGAAUUUCCUACGGAAUUCAUCUCUAUGGACUUGCAACCCUACUUUUAACCGACUGUUGUGUAAAAGCUAAGUUUAUUUACUUUUUCAUUAUUUACUUUUGGGUAAGAUAUAUUUGCUACAUUGUAAACUUUUCGUAUGCAUACGAUUAGGAAGAGUACAUAUAUUUUCGUGAUAGAUAGGGUUUUAGGUUGUUGUUUUUUUUUCUUUUUGAUUCAGUAUAAGUAGGAGUUAGUUAAAAUAAAUAAAAUCAGGUCUUGUUUAAUAAUCAUAAAUAAUUGUAUCUUAAAAUUUAAUAGGGAAUCGGGUUGUAAAAUUUUGUCGCGGAUUUUAAAUAGGGAAUACGUCUCGUAGGUUUUUUUUGUAAAAUAUAUAAAGAGUCACUGACCAACUCAUUUAUAUAGACCUUUUUGCUAUUCCAACGGACUUUUGAUUUGGAUUUUGAUUUUAAUACUUUUGCUUGGCCAGUGAUAGUGGAUAAUUGCUUGUUGAGAGGCCUUUGCGGUCCUAUUUUAUCUUUUCCCCAUCCACUAUCACUGUUAUUACGUUGCGUUAUAUGUAAAGUGUUAUUAUUUAAUAUUUAUUAUUAAUAUAUUUGUAUGUAUUAA